GCAGACACAUUCCAGCCAAUCAGCAGCAGACCCUCCCUCCCAGACCUUCCCACCUCCUGGACAGCAUCCAUUUUACAUUCAUUGUGAAGCUGCAUUCUUAGUGAGCUGUCCAGGAGGUGGGAGGGUCUGGGAGGGAGGGUCUGCUGCUGAUUGGCUGGAAUGUGUUUG
This is a non-coding RNA of Pelobates cultripes (western spadefoot toad), 168 nucleotides long. Lineage: Eukaryota; Metazoa; Chordata; Amphibia; Anura; Pelobatidae. The record is from the annotation of a GenBank genome assembly.